UUAAGCGACUAAGCGUACACGGUGGAUGCCCUGGCAGUCAGAGGCGAUGAAGGACGUGCUAAUCUGCGAUAAGCGUCGGUAAGGUGAUAUGAACCGUUAUAACCGGCGAUUUCCGAAUGGGGAAACCCAGUGUGUUUCGACACACUAUCAUUAACUGAAUCCAUAGGUUAAUGAGGCGAACCGGGGGAACUGAAACAUCUAAGUACCCCGAGGAAAAGAAAUCAACCGAGAUUCCCCCAGUAGCGGCGAGCGAACGGGGAGGAGCCCAGAGCCUGAAUCAGUGUGUGUGUUAGUGGAAGCGUCUGGAAAGGCGCGCGAUACAGGGUGACAGCCCCGUACACAAAAAUGCACAUGCUGUGAGCUCGAUGAGUAGGGCGGGACACGUGGUAUCCUGUCUGAAUAUGGGGGGACCAUCCUCCAAGGCUAAAUACUCCUGACUGACCGAUAGUGAACCAGUACCGUGAGGGAAAGGCGAAAAGAACCCCGGCGAGGGGAGUGAAAAGAACCUGAAACCGUGUACGUACAAGCAGUGGGAGCCUCUUUUAUGGGGUGACUGCGUACCUUUUGUAUAAUGGGUCAGCGACUUAUAUUCUGUAGCAAGGUUAACCGAAUAGGGGAGCCGAAGGGAAACCGAGUCUUAACUGGGCGUUAAGUUGCAGGGUAUAGACCCGAAACCCGGUGAUCUAGCCAUGGGCAGGUUGAAGGUUGGGUAACACUAACUGGAGGACCGAACCGACUAAUGUUGAAAAAAUUAGCGGAUGACUUGUGGCUGGGGGUGAAAGGCCAAUCAAACCGGGAGAUAGCU
Molecule: ribosomal RNA, 805 nt
Filed under: Escherichia coli STEC_MHI813
Lineage: Bacteria; Pseudomonadati; Pseudomonadota; Gammaproteobacteria; Enterobacterales; Enterobacteriaceae
Description: bacterial LSU rRNA
Rfam family: Bacterial large subunit ribosomal RNA
Source: RNAcentral